Non-coding RNA from Sus scrofa (pig), 5664 nucleotides. NCBI's taxonomy places the organism in Eukaryota, Metazoa, Chordata, Mammalia, Artiodactyla, Suidae. The record is from RefSeq and is a predicted model, not a curated record.
CAGCGGCUCUCAUUUCAAGAGGUGACGGGGUUCGCCUCCCCACUUGUUUGGCUUUCAGAGGAGACCUCCUUGCUGCUGUCCCUGGAGGACCCACCCUGACGAAUGAGGUUCCUGCCCCCUCCAGAGGCCACCCAGACCUGACCUUCUCAGCCCGACAGUGGACGUGGCAACCAGGGGACAUUUCCUUGGAAGAAAAGAAGACCAUAUCCUGCAGAUGCUUCCAGGUGGUGAGCACAUGACCCAUGCUGAGCCAAUCUGUGACUUCAGCAGAGAAUUUAGAAUCAGAACCCAGAAGACUUCAGCGAAGGCUGGCUGUCUUCACAUGUAGAGGUUUUGGGGCUAUUGACUGCCGUGCUUUCUACUACUGGCUGGAGGGGUGGACGGAGCCAGGGGCUGUGAAGAAGAUGAAGAGACAACAGAGCAGCAGUUACCACGCCACCUCGAAUCCUCAGUUGCCAGCCCUGUCCUGGCCAGGAGUGCAGAACAGGUUGUCAAGUGAAUGAAAGAGGAAAGCAGAGGAUGCGACUUGUCCAAGGUCACUCUGCCGUCAGUGGCAGAGCUGAGACCAGAAUCCAUGUCUCUACUCGCCCUCUGUGGGGUCCUGCGUACCUCGCCAGCUUGGCCCCAGUUUUGCCCUCAUGACAUCCAAGAGGUGCUGGAAGCAUGACGAAGGUUGAGCUGUGCCCUUGGCCCCAGCCCUCAUAGCUCCCUGGCUAAUGAGUCAAGCAGUGAUCAAUGUCUGACCUGCAGGGGGACUCAGCCAUUCAAGAAGAGUGGCCUCAGCCUCAUCCACUAAGCCUUUAUGGAGUACUUCCUGCCUAACAGGUAGGUCCUGGCCCUGAGGGGUUCCCAGGCAUUUCUGCAAGGCAGGGUGUGUCCUUCUUUGUGAAUGCUCACUGCAGGCUUGAGAAGAGCCUGUCUUGGAUGUCUGGACAUCUGGAUUUCAAUCCAGUCUUUGCUACUCACUCCGUGUGGCCCCCCAAGCUAAAUAAAGGGUUAGAUGAAGGGUCCGAUCCAUGAGCUGAGGAGGGAGGAGAUGCACAUGGGAAGUGAGAGAACAGGAUGUAUCUCCCAGUUAGGUCUGGGGAUCUAAGCAUGGCAAGGGCCCCUGGGGCAGCCAAGGAGGUGGGAGGAGCCUGGACCUCCUGUGCCAUGACAGGUACUAGAGUAGAAGCAAAAGUCAUCCUGUGAGCACACCCGGGCAGAUGGGCCUGAUGUGGCCUCACAGAGCUCCCAGGAGCAGCAGAAGUCUUCUCUGUGCCCAAGAGGGUUUCCCACAGCCCAGAGAGUUGUGAACUCAGCAGCGUGUGUCUGAUGUGCCCAAGAGUGUGGCCCAGACAAGGCAUAGAGGUCAGGAGGACCUGGAGAGGCUGAGGGGGAGCCCAGAGGAAGGCUGUGCAUGGUCAGUGGGUACCAAUGUCUGAUGUCCAGACAUCUUGGGGAAGGACAGCAGGGCAGAUGCCCAAGAACUGGAUCUCCCUGUGUUCCCUCUGCCCUGCCUCAGCACCUCAUAAUCACCAUCCAACCCAAGAAAUGAGAUGGUGCCUUGACUAAGAUGAAGUGUCCUCCAUGCAAGUGAAAGAAGGGCUCAAAAUAGAAAUACAGUUCAAAUAGAUAAGGAAAGUUCUAUUUCUCAUGUACCUAGAUUUGUAGCCUGAAAUUUAUACACGCUACCCAAGGAUAAAGGGUUCAUACAGAUGAGAAAAGGUGGCUCUCAAAGAUAAUCAAACUAGUGUUAAUCUUUAUGUCUAUAACACUGGACAAAACUUCCACAAACUCUUAGGGAAAAGAUUUGUGAGCCAAGUGUUUUUCCCAAUCAAGAUACCAUUAAUUUUGUCGGGCAUUUUUGGGGCACUGAAGACUGAACAAAAUACUCAAACCAAAUGAAUAUGGGUUAGAAGAGAGAUUCCAAGAUAUGGGAAGAAAAAGUGUACAGCAAAUAAAUGAAAGGAAUGGCUACACAUAGUUAAAUUGAAAUGAAUAAUGAUGCAACUAAUAAUUUGUCAUUUUAAAAGGAGGUAUUCUUUUUUUCUCUUUUUCUUUUUAGGGCUGCACCUGCAGCAUAUGGAAGUUCCUGGGUAGGGGUCACAUCAGAGCUGCAGCUGCUGGCCUAUACCACAGCCACAGCAGCAUGAGAUCCAAGUCACAUCUGAGACCUAUGCUUCAGCUUGCAGCAAUGCCAGAUCCUUAACCCUCUGAGGAGGCCAGGGAUCAAACCAGCAUCCACUAUGUUGGGUUCUUAACCCACUGAGCCAUAACAGGAACUCCUAAAGUAGGUAUUCUUGAAACAAAGAAAGCCAUGCUAUAAGGAGAAACUUAGUAAGAAUCAGAAAUGAAGUAAUCAAAGUCUGUAGUGUCCAGUGGGGCUGCCACUAGUCACAGGUGGCUCUUCAUAUUUAAAUUAAUUAGAAUUAAGUAAAAUUGAAUAUUUAGUUCUUCAGUUGCACUAGCCACUUUUCACAUAUUUAGCAGCCACACCUGGGUUGUGGCAACUGUGUUGGAUGUUGGGUAUGGAACAUUCCCGUUAUUGCAGAAAAUUCUUUUGGGCAUCACUGGUCUAAAUUAUCAGCAAAUCCAUGGAGAGGAAAGAAAGUUUUGGGGAAUAGAGAAUAAAAGUGUUCGAAAGAUCCUCUAAAAGGAUAGGACAGACAAAACCAGCAGCAAAAUUGAAAAGCAGAGUGUAGUGUCUAACGAGCAAGUUGUGAUGGUGGCAGUGAUGGGAUUUGAAAAAUUAAGGAAUGAAGAGUAACUUGACCAAGUGAGAAAAGGCAACAGAGAAAGAGGGAGAAAACUAUGAUCAGUACUAAAUAUGAAAUUAGGUGGGUAAAAAACCUCAGUUCAUUAGCUAACACAGUAACUGUGAUCUGGAUGAAAUCCCUGUUAGAAUUCAAAGAUGUUAUUUCCAGUAGAUAUGUAGAGAAAAAUCUCCUGGGACAGAACGCCUAAAGUGCUGGAUAAAUUAAAAAAUAUGUAUAUUUUUUCUUUUUUGGCCACCCCGUGGCAUGUGGAAUUCCCAAGCCAGGAAUCAGACCCGAGUCCUAGUUGUGACUGACCUUCACCACAGCUGCGGCAACACCAGAUCCUCCACUCCACUGUAUCUGGCCAGGGAUCAAACCUGUGUCCUGAUGCUGCAGACAUGCUGCCAAUUCCAUUGUGCCAUAGUUGAUUCCUAAAAUAUUUUUUAAAAACAUAGCUUAGCUGACAAAAAAUAAGGGAAAUGUCAGGGUUCAGAAGCAUCAAGAAAUCUUGAGUCCACAGAGGUAAAUGCAUUCUGGGGCCAGCAUUUACCCAAAGGGUAUCUACCUAUCUCUGGUCAACCAAAUUCUGGCUUCAACAGACUUCAUGGAACAGAAGAUAAUUCUUGGGGUCCAAUAAAGCUUAGAAAUGGGGAUCCUGCAUAAAGCUAGGACCCCAAAGGGCUAGUAAACUAGGGAGGAAAAGUGUCUACAGAGAUUUGUCUGCCUCUAUCAUCACUGGGGUUGGAGCAGAGAUAAAAAGGGUCUUCCUGAGACUCCAGGACAAGCUCAGUUGCAAGUGAGUGUGGUGCCAGAAUCACACUGCCUAUAUUGCUCCCUCAGCUCCCCCCGCCUCCAGAAAAACUAACUAAAAAUGCAGUCAAAAGUGUUCCCCAGAUGCCUGAUGAAGCAAUCGCAUAUGCUCCCUGGAGAAACACACUUUAACUCUAGGUUUCAAAGACUUUCACAGAUAAACUUCCAAGGAACAGGAGGUCAUACUAAAAAAAAUAAUAAUAAUUAAGCAGAAACUACAUGAAAUGAGAGUCAGCAGAAACAACAUUGCUGAAUCAGACCAACAGCAACUGGAGAUAUUGGAAUUAUCUGUUAUAAAAUAUGAAAUAAUUAUGUGUAGUUUGCUUAAAGAAACUAAGGAGGUAAUUGAAUGUAUGACAGAAGAAUUAGAGUGUCAAAAUUGAUCAGAUGAAUUUGAAAAAGAAUCGAACAGAAUCUCUGGAAAUGGUAAGUAUAAUUGAAAUUAAAGCCGAAUGGAUGAAGGGUUGGUUCUGGGAAAGAUGGAGUAAGCAUACUCUAGGUAGAGUAUAUAUACUCAGUCUCCUCCUGAAUGCAGUUACAAACCCUUGAUACAAUGUAUGGACCAGCAAUAUGAGGACUUGAAAAGUAAAUAGUAUCUAGUAGAUUGCAGACGGAAACAAGAAUUUGAAGUACAAGUGAAUUGGGGUGAGUAUUUCAGUCCCCCCCCCCCCCCAUAUUGCCUUGCUUGGACUCAAAGGCAGCCUAAAACCUGGGAGGGUAUACCAGGUCCAGGCAGAAAGAGCUUCAAGAUAGAGCUCUCUUCCUGGUCUAAAGAAUAAGAAAAGGGAUCCUACUAAGAAUGAGAGCAAGAGUUUUCCUGUUUAUUUUUUCUUUUUUUCCAAGAUCUCCCAUCCUAGCCCUCAGAUACUGGCAAUGGUGAUGACAGCAUCAGCCAAGUGGGCACCUAAAAUUCCAAGGGAAAGGAAACCUUCUUUCUACCAGAAGAUCUUUGAAUGCAAGAGCUUGGGCAAAUUCUUUUUGCUCCUUCCCUGCCUCCCCUCUUAUCCUCCCACUGCUUAGCCUCAGACACAGAUGCAGUCAAAAGAAUUGCAUAGGAGAUCUGAGAUAGUGAAGUCCCAGGUUUCUGGGUGGGGGAUUGGGAAGGGAGGCUCCAGGGAUCUAGAAAGUAUUGGGGUUAUUGUGGAGAUGAGACAGCACGAGAGGGUGAUCCCAUAACUUUGUGUAUGAAUUUCUGGGGUCACCUUCAAAUUGUGGAUCAUGGAUCUGAUCCUAAAUAGAAUAUGAAAGGUUCUGAGAACUGAACUGUAGGGCAGGCUGCUGCUGCCCAGGUCCCAGACUGGCCACUGACAGUGCAUAUGUAGGACACAUUUGAACAGCACUGCAGAAGGCUUUGAAAACUUUAGAACCAGAGCCUGCAGAAAGUGUGUUGAAAUGUAUGGCCUGAACCUAGCCUAAGUCAAUUGUCUGUGUGUGUGCGCACGCGCGUGUGUGCAUGUGUGUGCGUGUCUGUGUGUGUGUAUGUGUGUGUGUGUGUGUGUAAACAUUCUCCUUAGUAAACAAAACCCAGAGUCACAUAACUUGAUAUACAAAAUGUCCAGGAUACAAUCUAAAAUGACCUGAGGUAUAAAGAACUAGAAAAUUUCAACUCUCAGUAAAAAGACAAUCACUUGAUAUCAAUGAUGAGAAAACACAAAUGCUAAAAUUAUCAGACAAAGACCUCAAAGCAUCUACUGUAAGAAGUAAGGAUGAAUGAAAAGUUUUAACAAAGAAAUAAAGGAUAUGGAAGAUCCCAUUGUAGCUCAGCAGAUUAAGGACCUGACGUAGUCUCUGUGAGAAUGUGGGUUUGAUCCCUGCCCUUGCUCAGUGGGUUAAGGAUCCAGCAUUGCUGAAAUCUGCAGUGUAAGUUUGUAGAAGUCACUUGGAUCCAUUGUUGCCAAGGCUGUGGUGUAGGCAUCAGUUGCAGCUUUGAUUCAACUCCUAUCCCAGGAACUUCCAAAUGCUGCAGAUGCAGCCAUAAAAAGGAAAAGAAAAAAGAAAUAGAAGAUAUGAAGAUAUGGAAUUCCCUGGUGGCUCACCAGGUUAAGGAUCUGGUGUCAUCACUGCUGUGGCUCUGGUUGCAGCUGUGGCAUGGCAUACUAUGGAUGUAGCCCCCCCC